Molecule: ribosomal RNA, 376 nt
Filed under: uncultured cyanobacterium
Lineage: Bacteria; Bacillati; Cyanobacteriota
Description: bacterial SSU rRNA
Rfam family: Bacterial small subunit ribosomal RNA
Source: RNAcentral
GAUGAACGCUGGCGAGAUGCUUUAUACAUGCAAGUUGUACGAGAUUUAUUUCAAGUAGCGGACGGGUGAGUAACGCGUAAGAAUUUGCCUUUAGGAGAGGGAUAACAAUUGGAAACUAUUGCUAAUACCUCAUAUGCUUUUGAGUGAAAUGGAUCUUUCCGCCUAAAGAUAAGCUUGCGGCUGAUUAGCUUGUUGGUGAGGUAAUAGCUCACCAAGGCGACGAUCAGUAUCUGGUUUGAGAGGACGAUCAGACACACUGGACUGAGACACGGUCCAGACUCCUACGGGAGGCAGCAGUAGGGAAUUUUCCGCAAUGGGCAAAAAGCCUGACGGAGCAAUCUCGCGUGAGGGAUGACAGCCUAAGGGUUGUAAACCU